Molecule: ribosomal RNA, 1358 nt
Filed under: Salmonella enterica subsp. enterica
Lineage: Bacteria; Pseudomonadati; Pseudomonadota; Gammaproteobacteria; Enterobacterales; Enterobacteriaceae
Description: partial 23S ribosomal RNA
Rfam family: Bacterial large subunit ribosomal RNA
Source: RNAcentral
GGGUGACAGCCCCGUACACAAAAGCGCAUGUGCUGUGAGCUCGAUGAGUAGGGCGGGACACGUGGUAUCCUGUCUGAAUAUGGGGGGACCAUCCUCCAAGGCUAAAUACUCCUGACUGACCGAUAGUGAACCAGUACCGUGAGGGAAAGGCGAAAAGAACCCCGGCGAGGGGAGUGAAAAAGAACCUGAAACCGUGUACGUACAAGCAGUGGGAGCACAGGUUUACCUGUGUGACUGCGUACCUUUUGUAUAAUGGGUCAGCGACUUAUAUUCUGUAGCAAGGUUAACCGUAUAGGGGAGCCGGAGGGAAACCGAGUCUUAAUUGGGCGUUAAGUUGCAGGGUAUAGACCCGAAACCCGGUGAUCUAGCCAUGGGCAGGUUGAAGGUUGGGUAACACUAACUGGAGGACCGAACCGACUAAUGUUGAAAAAUUAGCGGAUGACCUGUGGCUGGGGGUGAAAGGCCAAUCAAACCGGGAGAUAGCUGGUUCUCCCCGAAAGCUAUUUAGGUAGCGCCUCGUGAAUUCAUCUCCGGGGGUAGAGCACUGUUUCGGCUAGGGGGCCAUCCCGGCUUACCAACCCGAUGCAAACUGCGAAUACCGGAGAAUGUUAUCACGGGAGACACACGGCGGGUGCUAACGUCCGUCGUGAAGAGGGAAACAACCCAGACCGCCAGCUAAGGUCCCAAAGUCAUGGUUAAGUGGGAAACGAUGUGGGAAGGCCCAGACAGCCAGGAUGUUGGCUUAGAAGCAGCCAUCAUUUAAAGAAAGCGUAAUAGCUCACUGGUCGAGUCGGCCUGCGCGGAAGAUGUAACGGGGCUAAACCAUGCACCGAAGCUGCGGCAGCGAACGUAUCACCCAAGACAACUUUACGGAGUUGACGAUUGACGGAGCGAAGCGACGUCAAAGCGUUCAUUAAAGUCGAGUUGGCUUAGGGAUACGUUCGUUGGGUAGGGGAGCGUUCUGUAAGCCUGUGAAGGUGUGUCGUGAGGCAUGCUGGAGGUAUCAGAAGUGCGAAUGCUGACAUAAGUAACGAUAAAGCGGGUGAAAAGCCCGCUCGCCGGAAGACCAAGGGUUCCUGUCCAACGUUAAUCGGGGCAGGGUGAGUCGACCCCUAAGGCGAGGCCGAAAGGCGUAGUCGAUGGGAAACGGGUUAAUAUUCCCGUACUUGGUGUUACUGCGAAGGGGGGACGGAGAAGGCUAUGUUGGCCGGGCGACGGUUGUCCCGGUUUAAGCGUGUAGGUGUGUGUUCCAGGUAAAUCCGGUUCACUUUAACACUGAGGCGUGACGACGAGGCACUACGGUGCUGAAGCAACAAAUGCCCUGCUUCCAGGAAAAGCCUCUAAGCAUCAGGUAACAC